UCUGUCCUACGGGGCGCAGCAGUGAGGAAUAUUGGUCAAUGGGCGGAAGCCUGAACCAGCCAAGUCGCGUGAGGGAAUAAGGCCCUACGGGUCGUAAACCUCUUUUGCCGGGGAGCAAGGGCGGGGACGUGUCCCGGCCCGGAGAGUACACGGAGAAAAAGCAUCGGCUAACUCCGUGCCAGCAGCCGCGGUAAUACGGAGGAUGCGAGCGUUAUCCGGAUUUAUUGGGGUUAAAGGGUGCGUAGGCGGGCUUUUAAGUCAGCGGUAAAAAUUCGGGGUGCAACCCCGUCCGGCC
RNAcentral lists this ribosomal RNA (295 nucleotides) under uncultured bacterium. RNAcentral describes it as "partial 16S ribosomal RNA". It matches the Rfam family "Bacterial small subunit ribosomal RNA", at positions 333 to 625 of the family's 1533-position model. The record is from RNAcentral.